UGGCGGACGGGUGAGUAAUGUCUGGGAACUGCCCGAGGGAGGGGGAUAACUACUGGAAACGGUAGCUAAUACCGCAUAACGUCGCAAGACCAAAGAGGGGGACCUUCGGGCCUCUUGCCAUCGGAUGUGCCCAGAUGGGAUUAGCUAGUAGGUGGGGUAACGGCUCACCUAGGCGACGAUCCCUAGCUGGUCUGAGAGGAUGACCAGCCACACUGGAACUGAGACACGGUCCAG
RNAcentral lists this ribosomal RNA (234 nucleotides) under uncultured bacterium. RNAcentral's name for it is "partial 16S ribosomal RNA". It matches the Rfam family "Bacterial small subunit ribosomal RNA", at positions 96 to 334 of the family's 1533-position model. The record is from RNAcentral.